This 74-nucleotide transfer RNA is filed under the name Camelus bactrianus (Bactrian camel). It matches the Rfam family "tRNA". Rfam says of the family: Transfer RNA (tRNA) molecules are approximately 80 nucleotides in length. Their secondary structure includes four short double-helical elements and three loops (D, anti-codon, and T loops). The record is from Rfam by way of RNAcentral. RNAcentral also lists the same sequence under 2 other names. Lineage: Eukaryota; Metazoa; Chordata; Mammalia; Artiodactyla; Camelidae.
GAGGGUAUAGCUAAGUGGUAGAGCUCCUCAUGCCUAGAUGCAUGAGGUCUUGGGUUCAAUCCUCAGUACCUCCA